AGGCCAUCCAAGAAACCAACACACAGCAGCCUGGAUUUCCACCCGACAUCCUACAUGAUCUGUUAGAAGGUGUUAUUCCAGUGGAGCUUGCUCUCUGUUUAAAAGGCUCAAAAGUUCCAGAAGGGGAU
Long non-coding RNA from Pygocentrus nattereri (red-bellied piranha), 128 nucleotides. RefSeq lists it as uncharacterized. The transcript has 3 exons. The record is from RefSeq and is a predicted model, not a curated record. Lineage: Eukaryota; Metazoa; Chordata; Actinopteri; Characiformes; Serrasalmidae.